AAUAAUCGUUGUUGAAAAAUAUCGUUAAAAACAGGAAGCUUUAUCAUUAUGAUUUUCUAGCAACCUCGCCCUUUCUUGUGAACCUGACCCUGGCUAUGAAUCGUCUGCUUUGAUUCAAACACAACUAUUAUAAGACUGAAGCUCAGAACAGAGGGAAUGAGGAGACAUCUCUUGCACUGGGUGAACAGUUUCUCCAGUGGAAAGGAGAAGGAAAAUGCUGAGGACGAAUUUGCAGGAACUAUAGCAUGGGACCAAAAUAUUGUCAUUGGCUGAGCUCCAGAGGCAGAAGCCAGGGCUGCUGGAAAUAGGGUCAAGGAAGAAAUGGACUCUACAGGCUGGGACUGGGAAAACAGGGCUAACAGCUGGAACUCUUUCCCUGAAGUGCCUUCCCACCUUCUUAUUUCUGUCUGCCCUCAUUAUUUGAUUAUCACGAGAGAAAUCUAAAGAGUGUACUCAGUAAAUCCUGAAUAAAUGCUAAUAAAUGA
Long non-coding RNA from Tympanuchus pallidicinctus (lesser prairie-chicken), 485 nucleotides. RefSeq lists it as uncharacterized. The record is from RefSeq and is a predicted model, not a curated record. NCBI's taxonomy places the organism in Eukaryota, Metazoa, Chordata, Aves, Galliformes, Phasianidae. The transcript has 3 exons.